GACGAACGCUGGCGGCGUGCUUAACACAUGCGAGUCGAACGAAGAGCGAUGGAAGCUUGCUUCUAUCAAUCUUAGUGGCGAACGGGUGAGUAACGCGUAAUCAACCUGCCCUUCAGAGGGGGACAACAGUUGGAAACGACUGCUAAUACCGCAUACGAUCUGACCUCGGCAUCGAGGAUAGAUGAAAGGUGGCCUCUACAUGUAAGCUAUCACUGAAGGAGGGGAUUGCGUCUGAUUAGCUAGUUGGAGGGGUAACGGCCCACCAAGGCGAUGAUCAGUAGCCGGUCUGAGAGGAUGAACGGCCACAUUGGGACUGAGACACGGCCCAGACUCCUACGGGAGGCAGCAGUGGGGAAUCUUCCGCAAUGGACGAAAGUCUGACGGAGCAACGCCGCGUGAGUGAUGACGGCCUUCGGGUUGUAAAGCUCUGUUAAUCGGGACGAAAGGCCUUUUUGCGAAUAGUGAGAAGGAUUGACGGUACCGGAAGAGAAAGCCACGGCUAACUACGUG
This 510-nucleotide ribosomal RNA is filed under the name uncultured bacterium. RNAcentral describes it as "partial 16S ribosomal RNA". It matches the Rfam family "Bacterial small subunit ribosomal RNA", at positions 28 to 507 of the family's 1533-position model. The record is from RNAcentral.